RNAcentral lists this non-coding RNA (45 nucleotides) under Schistosoma mansoni. The record is from RNAcentral. Lineage: Eukaryota; Metazoa; Platyhelminthes; Trematoda; Strigeidida; Schistosomatidae.
AUCCAGCUGAUGAGUCCUAAAUAGGACGAAAUGCGCGUUCUGGAU